Molecule: ribosomal RNA, 435 nt
Rfam family: Bacterial small subunit ribosomal RNA
ACGGAAGGCAGCAGUGGGGAAUAUUGCACAAUGGGGGAAACCCUGAUGCAGCGACGCCGCGUAUAGGAAGAAGGUUUUCGGAUUGUAAACUAUUGUCGUUAGGGAAGAGAAAGGACAGUACCUAAGGAGGAAGCUCCGGCUAACUACGUGCCAGCAGCCGCGGUAAUACGUAGGGAGCGAGCGUUAUCCGGAAUUAUUGGGUGUAAAGGGUGCGUAGACGGGAAAUUAAGUUAGUUGUGAAAUCCCUCGGCUCAACUGAGGAACUGCAACUAAAACUGAUUUUCUUGAGUGCAGGAGAGGUAAGUGGAAUUCCUAGUGUAGCGGUGAAAUGCGUAGAUAUUAGGAGGAACACCAGUGGCGAAGGCGACUUACUGGACUGCAACUGACGUUGAGGCACGAAAGUGUGGGGAGCAAACAGGAUUAGAUACCCUGGUA